UUUGUAUUGCUCUUUUUUCUGUGCAUAACUUCUCAAACUUUAAUUUUCCCUGCCCUUUUUGUUAGUGUAAUAGUGGAUUUUUGGCUUUGUUGUAAGACACCACAAGAAAAGUCUAAUCAAAAGUAGUUUUGGUUGACAAAGGUAUGUAUUCCUAUCAUUUUUUUUCUAUUGAAACCUUCAAUUCUUUUUCCUUUUACUACUUAAUAGUGCUUAAAAAGGACAGUUCAUGGAUUAAAGUUUUCGAUAUAUAUAUAUAUAUAUAUAUAUAUGUGAAGUUAAUUAUAUUGAGUUUUAAUAAGGAUUACACCAGAAAGAAUUUAAUUAUAGUUUGAAGAAUCGAAAUAGAAGAAUAUUUUAUGUAGUCUAAUUUUGGUUGUUUCUAUGGCUUGAACUCAAACUUUUUAUCACAUGAUAGCAACGACAAUGGCGACUAGUUUUAAUAGUGUCUUAAUUAUAUUUUGAAGAAUUUGAAGUAGAAGAGUCCCAUUGUAUGUAGUCUUAUUUUGGUUCUUUUUAUGCCUUAAAUUUAAAAUUCAGGAUUUCCUGAUCAUAUGGUAGCAACGACGACUUGUUUUGAUAAUGCUUUAAUUAUAUUUUGAAGAAUCGGAGUAGAAGAGUCUAUUGUAUGUUUUCUUAUAUUAGUUGUUUUUGUGAUUUUAGUUUAGGAUUUUCCAAUCACAUGAUAGCCAUGAAACACUUAUUUUAAUAAUGUAUUUCAGUUUACUCGUCUAAUUUUAACUUACAAAUAAAUUUUAACUUACAAAUAAAUUAAAAUUGAGUGAGUAGUUCUUGCAGCCAAACUAUAAAAGUUAUAGUUUCGCCAAUUGUAGCUUCCAAAGCAAUUUCACAUGUUUUUUUGGUUGAGAUAUAUGUAUAUGAAUUUGAUGAACAUAAAAGAUUAUUAAGAUAUUGUAUCUUAAAUUGAGCAAUGGAUAAUUAAGACUAUUUUCAAUAUAUCAUAAUUUGGAAACUAUUGAAUAUAUAAUUCAAAUGAAAUUAUAAUUUUAUAUAUUUUUUUUUUUACAAGAAAAAAAAUUAGGCAAAUGUUAGUGUCAUGAUUUUGAUAAAAUCGUUGGUUUGAUGGAAAUACACUUAAAAAAAAUAUAGCUGGUGUAGCACUAUAUUUGAUGAUUGAAAUCUGAAUAAUUCAGAUUCAUUUUCAUCAUUUUGAAUAAUUCAGAUAUUUUCAUCUUGUGAAAACAACAAACAAAGAAAUUAUUCAGACCUCGAUUAAGUGAAAAGAUAUUAGAGCUUCAACUUAAUUAACUGUCACUUUGAUAAAUUUAUUUUUGUGGUAAUGCAGGAAUAAUAUUACAGAAUAAGAAGAUGGAUCAUGUACUAGUGAUAUCAUUGCCUUUGGCUAUAUUGGUGUUGAUCUUAUUAGCUCUUGUAUGUUACUUCUUUGGAAGAUCAAGGGGUCGAUGGUGAUUAUAUUUAGUUAUAUUCAAAUGUUUAAUUAUGCCUCCUCCCAAGUUAUUUUUCGAUGAAUGUAACUUUUUCAAUCGGAAAUAACCUUUUUACCUCUAUGAAAGGUAGGGUAAUUUUUACCUACAUUUUGUUCAGGUAGGUGUACGUACAUUUUAUUCAUAUAGUCUUAGGAAGUUUGAGAUAAGGACUUAAUACCCUUAUACUAUAACGAAGUUGCUAUAACAGACUUUGAACUUGUU
This 1667-nucleotide long non-coding RNA is filed under the name Capsicum annuum. Its description in RNAcentral is "long non-coding RNA (CANN_LNC014969)". Lineage: Eukaryota; Viridiplantae; Streptophyta; Magnoliopsida; Solanales; Solanaceae. The record is from RNAcentral.